Molecule: transfer RNA, 63 nt
Filed under: Macrocheraia grandis grandis
Lineage: Eukaryota; Metazoa; Arthropoda; Insecta; Hemiptera; Largidae
Also listed under: 1 other name
Description: tRNA-Gly
Source: RNAcentral
ACUUUUUUAGUAUAAAUAAAUAUUAUUGACUUCCAAUCAAUAGAUCUUAAUAAAGAAAAAGUA